Molecule: ribosomal RNA, 664 nt
Filed under: Microbacterium sp. Rp103S82
Lineage: Bacteria; Bacillati; Actinomycetota; Actinomycetes; Micrococcales; Microbacteriaceae
Description: bacterial SSU rRNA
Rfam family: Bacterial small subunit ribosomal RNA
Source: RNAcentral
CACGUGAGCAACCUGCCCUGGACUCUGGGAUAAGCGCUGGAAACGGCGUCUAAUACUGGAUAUGAGCCUCUAUCGCAUGGUGGGGGUUGGAAAGAUUUUUUGGUCUGGGAUGGGCUCGCGGCCUAUCAGCUUGUUGGUGAGGUAAUGGCUCACCAAGGCGUCGACGGGUAGCCGGCCUGAGAGGGUGACCGGCCACACUGGGACUGAGACACGGCCCAGACUCCUACGGGAGGCAGCAGUGGGGAAUAUUGCACAAUGGGCGGAAGCCUGAUGCAGCAACGCCGCGUGAGGGAUGACGGCCUUCGGGUUGUAAACCUCUUUUAGCAGGGAAGAAGCGAGAGUGACGGUACCUGCAGAAAAAGCGCCGGCUAACUACGUGCCAGCAGCCGCGGUAAUACGUAGGGCGCAAGCGUUAUCCGGAAUUAUUGGGCGUAAAGAGCUCGUAGGCGGUUUGUCGCGUCUGCUGUGAAAUCCCGAGGCUCAACCUCGGGCCUGCAGUGGGUACGGGCAGACUAGAGUGCGGUAGGGGAGAUUGGAAUUCCUGGUGUAGCGGUGGAAUGCGCAGAUAUCAGGAGGAACACCGAUGGCGAAGGCAGAUCUCUGGGCCGUAACUGACGCUGAGGAGCGAAAGGGUGGGGAGCAAACAGGCUUAGAUACCCUGGUA